CGCGGGGUGGAGCAGCUUGGGAGCUCGUCGGGCUCAUAACCCGAAGGUCGUCGGUUCAAAUCCGGCCCCCGCAACCA
Molecule: transfer RNA, 77 nt
Filed under: Vibrio parahaemolyticus
Lineage: Bacteria; Pseudomonadati; Pseudomonadota; Gammaproteobacteria; Vibrionales; Vibrionaceae
Description: tRNA-Met
Rfam family: tRNA
About the family: Transfer RNA (tRNA) molecules are approximately 80 nucleotides in length. Their secondary structure includes four short double-helical elements and three loops (D, anti-codon, and T loops).
Source: RNAcentral